GAAGCCGGCACGGGAGGUUCGAUUUUGCCGGGGGCUGAACUUACCUCAGCUUUUGGAGGCGUGGAGAACUCGCGCUGUUCUGCGUCUCUUGCGGAGUGAAUUCGAGCAUGGUACCAGAUAUGACCUCCCUGAACUGGUUGCUUGCAAGAGACUUUCUUCAGAGAUUUCAGGUUACCCUCAAGAUACAGAAGCCAAAUUAUGGAGUCCACAAAAAGUAGUGAGAAAUCCAGAACAGCCUCCUGGAAUCUUCACUCUGGGCCAUUCUUGAUGCUCAGCACCACCCCAGAUCUCCAGCUUCCUAGUAGUCGGACCAUGUCUUCUUCAUCCCUGUGUCUUUCAGUGCA
Molecule: long non-coding RNA, 344 nt
Organism: Mesoplodon densirostris (Blainville's beaked whale)
Lineage: Eukaryota; Metazoa; Chordata; Mammalia; Artiodactyla; Ziphiidae
Exons: 4
Source: RefSeq, a predicted model, not a curated record